Molecule: ribosomal RNA, 497 nt
Filed under: uncultured bacterium
Lineage: Bacteria
Description: partial 16S ribosomal RNA
Rfam family: Bacterial small subunit ribosomal RNA
Source: RNAcentral
GAUGAACGCUGACGGCGUGCCCAAUACAUGCAAGUCGAGCGAACGGACGAGAAGCUUGCUUCUCUGAUGUUAGCGGCGGACGGGUGAGUAACACGUGGAUAACCUACCUAUAAGACUGGGAUAACUUCGGGAAACCGGAGCUAAUACCGGAUAAUAUUUUGAACCGCAUGGUUCAAAAGUGAAAGACGGUCUUGCUGUCACUUAUAGAUGGAUCCGCGCUGCAUUAGCUAGUUGGUAAGGUAACGGCUUACCAAGGCAACGAUGCAUAGCCGACCUGAGAGGGUGAUCGGCCACACUGGAACUGAGACACGGUCCAGACUCCUACGGGAGGCAGCAGUAGGGAAUCUUCCGCAAUGGGCGAAAGCCUGACGGAGCAACGCCGCGUGAGUGAUGAAGGUCUUCGGAUCGUAAAACUCUGUUAUUAGGGAAGAACAUAUGUGUAAGUAACUGUGCACAUCUUGACGGUACCUAAUCAGAAAGCCACGGCUAACUACGUG